RNAcentral lists this ribosomal RNA (254 nucleotides) under uncultured bacterium. Its description in RNAcentral is "partial 16S ribosomal RNA". It matches the Rfam family "Bacterial small subunit ribosomal RNA", at positions 524 to 776 of the family's 1533-position model. The record is from RNAcentral.
UACGUAGGGUGCAAGCGUUAAUCGGAAUUACUGGGCGUAAAGCGUGCGCAGGCGGCUUUGUAAGUCAGAUGUGAAAUCCCCGGGCUUAACCUGGGAACUGCGUUUGAAACUACAAGGCUAGAGUGUGGCAGAGGGGGGUGGAAUUCCGACGUGUAGCAGUGAAAUGCGUAGAGAUGUGGAGGAACACCGAUGGCGAAGGCAGCCCCUGGGUUAACACUGACGCUCGAGGCACGAAAGCGUGGGGAGCAAACAGG